CCAACAGGGGAUUCCCCCUAGUAGCUGGCGAAUGAAGCGGGAAAAGCUCAAGUUUGAAAUCUGAUGGGCUCGUCCCCUCAGAGUUGUAAGCUGAAGAGGCAUAGACCGACGUUGUCUGGGCCCAAUUUCCUUGGAACAGGAAGUCAUGGAGGGUGAGAACCCCGUCCGUGGCUCUGAGCCUUCGUCCUUGUGUCGUGUCCUCGAAGAGUCGGGUUGUUUGGGAAUGCAGCUCAAAAUGGGUGGUAAAUUCCAUCUAAGGCUAAAUAUUGGCGAGAGACCGAUAGCAAACAAGUAGAGUGAUCGAAAGAUGAAAAGUACUUUGAAAAGAGAGUGAAACAGUACGUGAAAUUGUUGAAAGGGAAACACUUGAAGUCAGUCGCGUCUUCCGGAAUUCAGCCUUGCUUCUGCCUGGUGCAUUUUCCGGUUUGACGGGCCAGCAUCAGUUUUGGUGGGCGGACAAAGGCAUGGGGAAGGUGGCAGCUCCGGCUGUGUUAUAGCCCCUUGUUGUACGCGCUCGCUGGGACUGAGGAAUCCGGUGCUUGCACCUGGGAUGCUGGCGUAAUGGCUUUAAAUGACCCGUCUUGAAACACGGACCAAGGAGUGCUACAUGCUCGCGAGUGUUUGGGUGGAAAACCCGAGCGCGAAAUGAAAGUGAAAGUCGAGACCCUUUGCGGGGGCAUCGACGCCCGAGCCUGACGUUUUCUGAAGGCCUUGCGGUAGAGCGAGUACGUUGCGACCCGAAAGAUGGUGAACUAUUCCUGAGGAGGGCGAAGCCAGAGGAAACUCUGGUGGAGGCUCGUAGCGGUUCUGACGUGCAAAUCGAUCGCAGGACUUGGGUAUAGGGGCGAAAGACUAAUCGAACCAUCUAGUAGCUGGUUCCUGCCGAAGUUUCCCUCAGGAUAGCAGAAGCUCA
This 913-nucleotide ribosomal RNA is filed under the name uncultured fungus. Its description in RNAcentral is "LSU rRNA". It matches the Rfam family "Eukaryotic large subunit ribosomal RNA", at positions 65 to 991 of the family's 3401-position model. Lineage: Eukaryota; Fungi. The record is from RNAcentral.